This 363-nucleotide ribosomal RNA is filed under the name uncultured bacterium. Its description in RNAcentral is "bacterial SSU rRNA". It matches the Rfam family "Bacterial small subunit ribosomal RNA", at positions 32 to 371 of the family's 1533-position model. The record is from RNAcentral.
AAUCAACGCUGGCGGCGUGCCUCAGACAUGCAAGUCGAACGCGAAAUUUCCCUUCGGGGGAGAAAGUAGAGUGGCGCACGGGUGAGUAACACGUAGGUAAUCUGCCUUUGGGCGGGGAAGUAACUCAGGGAAACUUGAGCUAAUACCGCAUAAUGCAGCGGCUCGACAUCGAGACAGUUGUUAAAGCGGGGGAGUCGCAAGACCUCGCGCCUGAAGAGGAGCCUGCGGCAGAUUAGGUAGUUGGUGAGGUAAUGGCUCACCAAGCCUGCGAUCUGUAGCCGGCCUGAGAGGGCGGUCGGCCACACUGACACUGACAUACGGGUCAGACUCCUACGGGAGGCAGCAGUCGGGAAUUUUGGGCAA